AGUCCUUAAGCACCCAGUAUACACCCAACCAAUUCUCAGUUUGAAAUCAGUAAUCACUGAGACAAAACAUAAAGUUCAAUCCAAGCCAUUCAGUUGCAGACAGGUCAGUGAUUGUGAUACAGAUAAGUAAAAAAGAUUUAGCUUUCCUCCUCAUCUAAUUAUUGGUUUUUAAUAAUUUUCUUUAGGAUAUUCUUUUUUUCUUUUUU
RNAcentral lists this unclassified non-coding RNA (206 nucleotides) under Hevea brasiliensis (rubber tree). Lineage: Eukaryota; Viridiplantae; Streptophyta; Magnoliopsida; Malpighiales; Euphorbiaceae. The record is from RNAcentral.